GAUGAACGCUGGCGGCGUGCCUAAUACAUGCAAGUCGAGCGAACAGACGAGGAUCUUGCUCCUUUGACGUUAGCGGCGGACGGGUGAGUAACACGUAGGUAACCUACCUAUAAGACUGGGAUAACUUCGGGAAACCGGAGCUAAUACCGGAUAAUAUUUCGAACCGCAUGGUUCGAUAGUGAAAGAUGGCUUUUCUAUCACUUAUAGAUGGACCUGCUCCGUAUUAGCUAGUUGGUAAGGUAACGGCUUACCAAGGCAACGAUACGUAGCCGACCUGAGAGGGUGAUAGGCCAAACUGGAACUGAGACACGGUCCAGACUCCUACGGGAGGCAGCAGUAGGGAAUCGUCCGCAAAGGGCGAAAGCAUGACGGAGCAACGCCGCGUGAGUGAUGAAGGUCUUCGGAUCGUAAAACUCUGUUAUUAGGGAAGAACAAAAGUGUAAGUAACUGUGAACGUAAUGACGGUACCUAAUCAGAAAGCCACGGCUAACUACGUG
RNAcentral lists this ribosomal RNA (497 nucleotides) under uncultured bacterium. RNAcentral describes it as "partial 16S ribosomal RNA". It matches the Rfam family "Bacterial small subunit ribosomal RNA", at positions 28 to 507 of the family's 1533-position model. The record is from RNAcentral.